GACUUCACAAUUUCUCACAGUAAAAACUAGUAGUUCUGGCCAAAAUGAAUAUUGAAAAUAAAUCGAACUGUUUUUAAAAAAGAACUACCUAUUGCAUAAUUUAAAACAAAAAGGAACUGCCAUGUCUGAAAGAACAACAGAACAUUGGGCUUCGAUUUCUGCUUGGAUUGUUGUCUGUGACUCAGGCUAGACUGGAUGUAUCUGUGCUGGAUUCAAAUGUCAGCACCUUCAACUGAUUAGGUUCAGCUGGAAAUUGAUACUAAUGUUGAGAUUGGUAGAGCUUUAAUCUAUUUUCGCCAUGGAAAGGCUUGUUGGAUGGGUAGAACUGGAAUCUCUUCAGUUUGGAUUGGAUUGGAAGUGGCUGGAUUGACGAUAUCUGGUCGGGAACUGCACUUUAGCACCUAUUUUGCUUAAUUGUGGAUCACCUACGAUUUGUUCUAAUGAUUCUCAUUCAUCAAGGCCUCUCUGUAAAUUUGUUGAGGUUUUCAUAUUAUGAAAAACCUGAAUUCUACUUGAUUGGCUUAAUGUUGAACCAAAUUUGUAACGAAAGGAAUCUCGUUUCCUUUGUGAAUUGCUUCCCCGAACUGAAAUGGGGUCAGAGGUCUGAGUUCUGCCUGUUUUGUCAAGGAGUUGGAUGGAUUUUCAAACCAAAUGGCUUGAUUGUUUCGGAGUCUGAAGGCCCCUUGAGAUCAUAUGAUCUUGUUUGAAUUUUGUCAGUAUGACUUGAGAGUUUUUGUUUUGAUUGAAUUUUUGGUUGCCUUUAACCCUGUUCACCUCCUCUCAUAUUUAUAGAGAAUCUAAAUGAGGACUUAUUCCUUAAUAACUGGAGGACAUAUCUGUUGAGAGGAUUCAUUGUUCCAAUGCAAAAAAGGGGAUAUUGACUUAGUCUGACAAAAGAAAAAACCCCCAUCAAAAGUCAGUUUUUACGAUGAUCAGUUUUGAUCUUUUGUCAACCAACUCUCUUAUCUCUUGUUUAUCUCUCAUAAACCCCACUUACCCUAAUGCGAAAGAAACUUGGCCCUCUUUCUAGCAUUAAAUGGUUAUGGGGAGUGGUUUUC
Molecule: long non-coding RNA, 1058 nt
Filed under: Prunus persica (peach)
Lineage: Eukaryota; Viridiplantae; Streptophyta; Magnoliopsida; Rosales; Rosaceae
Description: long non-coding RNA (PPER_LNC008179)
Source: RNAcentral